AGCUCAGCGGUAGAGCUCUUGCCUUGUAUGCAUGAGGCCGUGGGUUCAAUCCCUAGC
This 57-nucleotide transfer RNA is filed under the name Cavia porcellus (domestic guinea pig). It matches the Rfam family "tRNA", at positions 9 to 63 of the family's 71-position model. Rfam says of the family: Transfer RNA (tRNA) molecules are approximately 80 nucleotides in length. Their secondary structure includes four short double-helical elements and three loops (D, anti-codon, and T loops). The record is from Rfam by way of RNAcentral. Lineage: Eukaryota; Metazoa; Chordata; Mammalia; Rodentia; Caviidae.